UCUGCAGUAGAAAUUCAUGUUCAUCAGAUGUGGCCUAGUAGUUAGGAAUUCGAGAUAUGUUAAGCGGAUGAAUAUUAAAUGUUCAGUGCGUUCUGUUUUAAACAUUCUUUUGACUACUGCUUAAUAAUAAUGCACUGAAAUUUGCCAUUUUUUCGUACCAACCCGAGAGACAAUUUUUCACGACAAACGCGGUUAUUUGAAAGUUGAUUUUUCACUAGACGUAAUUUGAAUGUGCAGUUCCUGUACUCAACCCUACAGUGUGCAAAAAAAGACGGUGGAAAAAAUCUGCUCAUCAUGCUGAUCCGCACAAAGCCAGAUCCAUAGUCAGAGAAAAAUGUGUAGAAACUGAAAUUCUAGCCCUGGAAACCCAAGGUGCCCUUCUGCUUCAACAAGGCUAUGAAGCAAUUACAAUUUCAGGAGGUCCCAAUUCAGUUAACGCGGUGAUGGUCGAUUAUGCUAAUAUGGCAGCUAAGGAACAUGCCUUAUUGCUUAAUCGGAUUGAAAUCGCGACGUCGGAAGAAGAGCGUCUUGUUCUAGAAGAACUGUCCAGUCGCAACCAGUAUGUUGCCCCGCUACUGCCUAUUCACAUUGGCGGUGUUAAGGGCCGAACUUAUAGCUAUUUCGUAGAACUGAGCUCUGAUCAGACACAGCCAAACUGGAAUGAUCUAGCCCCCUACGCCCGCUUGAUACAGCGUGUUUGCUAUAAAUUCGGAAAGGCUGGGCGUGAAUCGGUGACAGACGUUACACCUACCUACUUAACGAGUAACAUUUUGGCGAUCUUGAGGGAAGCGGAUUAUUUGUCAAAUAAAAUAUUACGGGAUUCGGGUUGCUAUAAUAAGAAGCUAGCGCAGAUGCUAAUCAUCCAAUCUUGAUCCCUUUCACUUUGAUCGCGAUUCUAGUCAACGCAUUCCAUCAUGCCAUUGAUCAUUCUUUUCACAGGACUUUAUGACUGGAAUUCCUGCAAUUCCUGAUACCCAUUUGCCCCAAGAGGUUGAAGACAAGAUGGUUGAAACCGUCUUAACUGUUCCAGGAAUUUUUAGGGUCUUGUAUGAUCUGACUGCGAAACCACCCUGGACAAUGGAGUGGGAAUUAUUUGAUUUACGAACGUUUCUUAGGCAAAUGAUCUCCGCCACUCUUUACAGAACACGGAUACGGAAUUUUAUCACUGACCAGAUUUAGAAGGGAUAUAUUAUAAUAGUGGAUUCAGUAAAGACUUUGGAAAUUGAAAAAUUAAUCAGCUUUGUCGUCUCGUGAAAAUCUCUUAAACUGGCUUCUUAGGAAA
This 1282-nucleotide unclassified non-coding RNA is filed under the name Daphnia magna. RNAcentral describes it as "gMP synthase [glutamine-hydrolyzing]-like, transcript variant X2". The record is from RNAcentral. Lineage: Eukaryota; Metazoa; Arthropoda; Branchiopoda; Diplostraca; Daphniidae.